This 1513-nucleotide long non-coding RNA is filed under the name Marmota monax (woodchuck). Lineage: Eukaryota; Metazoa; Chordata; Mammalia; Rodentia; Sciuridae. The record is from RNAcentral.
ACACAGUGGAGGCAAAUCUUUUCAAUGUGAGGUAUGUGGGAAAGCCUUUCCUUUCCUAGCUUUUUUGAGGAGACAUGAAGAGACUCAUUCUAGAAAGAAAUUCUAUGAAUAUAAACAAGGUGAUCAAAGCUUCAUUACACUCACAAGUCUUCCAACUCACACGAUAAGGCACCGUGGGAAUACACGUUUUAAAUGCAAGCUAUGUGGGAAACAAUUUGCUCAUCCCUGUUUAUUCAGAAUACACCAGAGAACACAUACUGGAGAGAAACCCUAUGAAGGUAAACGAUGUGGAAAAGCCUUUGCUAGAUCCCAUCAGCUUCAUAAACAUGGAAAAACUCACACUGGAAAGAGGCCCUAUGCAUGUAAGCAGUGUGGCAAGUCCUUCACUCAGUCCUCUUAUCUUCUAAACCAUGAAAGAACACAUAAUGGAGAUAACCCGUAUGAAUGUAAGCAGUGUGGAAAAGCCUUUGGUAGAUCCGGGGAUCUUUACAGACACGAAAGAAUUCACACUGGAGAGAAGCCCUUUGAAUGUAAUCAGUGUGGCAAAGCCUUCACUCAGUCCUCUCAUCUUCUAAACCAUAAAAGAACGCAUACUGGAGAGAAGCCCUAUGAAUGCAAACAAUGUGGAAAAGCCUUUGCUAGAUCCUGUCAAUUUCAAGUACAUGUAAGAACUCAUACAAGAGAGAAUCUCCAUGAAUGUAAGCAGUGUGGCAAAGCCUUCACUCAGUUCUCUGACCUUCAGAAACAUAGGAGAAGGCAUACUGGAGAGAAGCCUUUUGAAUGUAAGCAGUGUGGCAAAGCCUUUGCUACAUCCAGUGAUCUUUACAGACACGGAAAAACUCACACUGAAGAGAAGCCCUAUGCAUGUAAUCAGUGUGGCAAAGCCUACACUAAGUCCUCUAGUCUUCUAAACCAUAAAAGAACACAUACUGGAGAGAAGACCUAUGAAUGCAAACAAUGUGGAAAAGCAUUUGCUAGAUCCUGUAAAUUUCACGUACAUGUAAAAACUCAUACAAGAGAGAAGCUCCAUGAAUGUAAGCAGUGUGGCAAAGCCUUCACUCGGUCCUCUUACCUUCAAAAUCAUUUAAGAACACAUACUGGAGAGAGGCCCUAUGAAUGUGAGCAGUGUGGGAAAGCCUUCACUCAGUCCUCUCACCUUCAAACACAUAAAAGAACUCAUACUGGAGAGAGGCCAUAUGAAUGUAAACAAUGUGGCAAAGCCUUCACUCGGUCCUCUUACCUUCAAAAUCAUUUAAGAACACAUAGUGGAGAGAAGCCCUAUGAAUGUCAACAAUGUGGUAAAGCCUUUGCUACAUCCUCUAACCUUCACCAACAUGAAAAAUUGCAUAUUGUAGAGAAGCCCUAUGAAUAUCAAAAAUGUGAAAAGGCCUUUGCUACAUCACCUCAUCUUUACACACAUUGAAGAACACAUACUGUAGAGAGGUUUGCUCAUGAAAACAAUUGGCAAAGUCUACUGUUACUACUGUUUCCCUCAUAAAUAUGUAGUAAAUUU